RNAcentral lists this ribosomal RNA (465 nucleotides) under uncultured Klebsiella sp. Its description in RNAcentral is "bacterial SSU rRNA". It matches the Rfam family "Bacterial small subunit ribosomal RNA", at positions 338 to 795 of the family's 1533-position model. Lineage: Bacteria; Pseudomonadati; Pseudomonadota; Gammaproteobacteria; Enterobacterales; Enterobacteriaceae. The record is from RNAcentral.
CCUACGGGCGGCAGCAGUGGGGAAUAUUGCACAAUGGGCGCAAGCCUGAUGCAGCCAUGCCGCGUGUGUGAAGAAGGCCUUCGGGUUGUAAAGCACUUUCAGCGGGGAGGAAGGCGGUGAGGUUAAUAACCUCAUCGAUUGACGUUACCCGCAGAAGAAGCACCGGCUAACUCCGUGCCAGCAGCCGCGGUAAUACGGAGGGUGCAAGCGUUAAUCGGAAUUACUGGGCGUAAAGCGCACGCAGGCGGUCUGUCAAGUCGGAUAUGAAAUCCCCGGGCUCAACCUGGGAACUGCAUUCGAAACUGGCAGGCUAGAGUCUUGUAGAGGGGGGUAGAAUUCCAGGUGUAGCGGUGAAAUGCGUAGAGAUCUGGAGGAAUACCGGUGGCGAAGGCGGCCCCCUGGACAAAGACUGACGCUCAGGUGCGAAAGCGUGGGGAGCAAACAGGAUUAGAUACCCCAGUAGUC